GCAAGGGCCAGAGAGGGGAAAUGCCUCCAUUAGGGUAACUCAGAGGGUCUCCUAACCCGCAGAGAACUGUUCUUCCCACUCCCACCUCCACCUCAUUCAGGCAUCCCCAAUUCUUCCAAACUACGUGCCCACUGCAGUAGCAGCACGCAUCAUAGCAGAUGUUCAAGGAAUCUCUGAUACUUGUGUGAUUGUGCAGCCUUCACCACCACACCCUGGAGCUUUGAGGACCUUAGUAUUCACUACAGACGAACCGGAGACUCCUCAGCCCCCAGGUGCAGCAGGAUUCCAGCUGGUCCAGAAGAAACAAGUGCAGCUGCGUGAGUAAGAGCCCAGCCUAGCCCUCAAUCAGAAUAACAGCCCCUGAGAGGAGUCUCGGUCUGUCACCCAGGCUGGAGUGCAGUGGCACGAUCUCAGCUCACUGCAACAGGAGGACAAUCUUAAUACAACAUUUCCCCUGGUUAGUGAAGGGGAUGAGAGUUCCCUUGGGUGGACAACUGGUAACUCCAUGUGCCCUGCUGUGAACAUUGGCUACCCUCUGGGACAAGGCAGAAGCUCAAGACUGGAGCCAGCUGAGGCCUAGUCUCCCUUCCCAUUUAGCAGUUUAUUAGUGUCUCUUUAAUAUCGACUUGCCCUGGGACCCUAAAAGCAAGCCAGAAAUAAAGUUUGAAUCGAAUCCCCACAGGAGCCUGCCGUGGUACCCUGGUCGGUUUCCUCCCACAUCCGGAAGAUGUGCAUGUUAGGCAAACUGGUGUGUAAUCCCAGCGUGAAUGACUGUGGGUGUGUGUGAGUGUGCUCUGCAAUGGGAUGGCGUCCUGUCAAGGACUGGUUACUGCCUUGAGCCCUGAACUGCCGGAUAGGCUCUGGCCACCCGAACUCUAAACUGGAAUAAGCGGAUGCGGAAACUGAGGCUCAGGAAGACUGAGUGACUUGCCAAGGCCACCAACUGGCAAUUGUUAGAGCCAGACUAUGAACCCAGGACAGCUUGACUACUGAACCUAAACUCUUUGUCACUCUGCACUAAUAAUUUUGAGUGGGUUCUGGUUUUAUCAAAGUCCUCCCUAAGUUCAAAUUUCUGGUUACAAUACUUUC
This is a long non-coding RNA of Rhinopithecus roxellana (golden snub-nosed monkey), 1089 nucleotides long. RefSeq lists it as uncharacterized. The transcript has 4 exons. The record is from RefSeq and is a predicted model, not a curated record. Lineage: Eukaryota; Metazoa; Chordata; Mammalia; Primates; Cercopithecidae.